Molecule: long non-coding RNA, 704 nt
Filed under: Salvia miltiorrhiza (redroot sage)
Lineage: Eukaryota; Viridiplantae; Streptophyta; Magnoliopsida; Lamiales; Lamiaceae
Description: long non-coding RNA (SMIL_LNC010457)
Source: RNAcentral
AGGGUUCUAAUGCCCUUAAUUGAUUUAGGGCUUUUAAGGUUCAAAUAAAUAGUACUCCCUCCGUCCCCAAAAUAAGUUCCUCUUUGAGGACGGCACGGGUUUUAAGGAAAAUGAUAAAGUGUAUUGAUAGUGGAGAAAAAUAUGUUAUAAUUAAUAUUGGGAGUGGUGAAAAAGUGAAAAAGUGUUAUAAUUAGUAUUGGGAGUGGUGAAAAAAUGAAAAUUAAGAAUAAAUAAAGUAUUAUUAGUGGUGGGGUAGUUGUCCAAAAAUAGAAAGAAAGAAAGAGGAACUUAUUUGGGGGGACGUCCCAAAAUGGAAAAAGAUGAACUUAUUUCAGGGACGGAGGGAGUAUAUAGCCAAUCUUCUUCUCACAUGUGGCUGCCACAAUCCUCGAUUCCUUUUACUAUCCAUUUCGAAUUGAUGUACGUUCACAUUUUACUUUUUUUGCUUCUGCUAAAUGAAGCUAACUCAUAUGUCGUUCUCUUCUUGCCUUGUUCGAUUUUUCUUGGGCUUGAAUUUGCUGGUGCAAAAUCGUUGAUUGAACGAGUAUUUGAUCAAUUUCUCUGCAGAUUUUUUUAUUAUCGAGGUCGAGUAUUGGCUUGGGCUCAGUUCAUGUAUCAUUCACUCCUUGCAAUUUUUUUCACUUCGGUGUAAAUCUCCGACCACAAUUUACGAAAUUAUGUGUUAUCUGUUAAUUCUUCAAACU